GGCGCCGUGGCUUAGUUGGUUAAAGCGCCUGUCUAGUAAACAGGAGAUCGUGGGUUCGAAUCCCACCGGAGCCU
Molecule: transfer RNA, 74 nt
Organism: Tropilaelaps mercedesae
Lineage: Eukaryota; Metazoa; Arthropoda; Arachnida; Mesostigmata; Laelapidae
Rfam family: tRNA
About the family: Transfer RNA (tRNA) molecules are approximately 80 nucleotides in length. Their secondary structure includes four short double-helical elements and three loops (D, anti-codon, and T loops).
Source: Rfam